GUACACGCUGUGACUAGCAUAUCAAUAAGCGGAGGAAAAGAAACUAACAAGGAUUCCCCUAGUAACGGCGAGUGAAGCGGGAAGAGCUCAAAUUUGAAAUCUUAAAGGGUUUCCCUUUACGAAUUGUAGUUUAAAGAAGUGUUUUCUGUUGAGGUUUUGGUAAAAGUUCUUUGGAAUAGGACAUCAUAGAGGGUGAGAAUCCCGUAUUUGACCUUUACUUUCAACUUUGUGAUACACUUUCAAAGAGUCGGAUUGUUUGGGAAUGCAGUCCAAAAUGGGUGGUAAAUUUCAUCUAAAGCUAAAUAUUGGCGAGAGACCGAUAGCGAACAAGUACCGUGAGGGAAAGAUGAAAAGAACUUUGAAAAGAGAGUUAAACAGUACGUGAAAUUGUCAAAAGGGAAGCGUUUGACACCAGUGUUGUUUUUCUGAAAAUCAAUUAAAGAACUGUUUAUGCUAAGUUGUUUAGACUUUAUCAGCUAUCUGCUUUAGUUUUGAGCUUUUCUUUAAUGCACUUUUCAGUUAACAAGUCAACAUCAAUUUCUUUUGCUGUAAAAAAGCUUGAGGAAGGUGGCUUGAGAUUCGUCUUAAGUGUUUAUAGCCUCUUGCCUAUGCAGUCGGAGAGAUUGAGGUCUGCAGCGUAGAUCCUUCGGGGCUAAAUGCAUUUGUGCUAAGUUAUAGCAUUUUAUAGACAACUUGUUGACUAUAAUUUGUCUUGUAGCUUACUCGCUUAUGUUAUUUUACCUACGCUUAGGAUGUUGACGCGCGUGUGUGCGUG
Molecule: ribosomal RNA, 775 nt
Filed under: uncultured Neocallimastigales
Lineage: Eukaryota; Fungi; Neocallimastigomycota; Neocallimastigomycetes; Neocallimastigales
Description: partial large subunit ribosomal RNA
Rfam family: Eukaryotic large subunit ribosomal RNA
Source: RNAcentral